Molecule: transfer RNA, 117 nt
Filed under: Ideonella dechloratans
Lineage: Bacteria; Pseudomonadati; Pseudomonadota; Betaproteobacteria; Burkholderiales; Sphaerotilaceae
Also listed under: 1 other name
Description: tRNA-OTHER
Rfam family: tRNA
About the family: Transfer RNA (tRNA) molecules are approximately 80 nucleotides in length. Their secondary structure includes four short double-helical elements and three loops (D, anti-codon, and T loops).
Source: RNAcentral
GCGCGUGUGGCGAAAUCGGUAUACGCGCCAACUUGCCCAAGGGCCUUAGAUCACGGGCCUUUGGGAAGUUGGUGGGGUGUGAGCCCCAUAGGGGUUCGAUUCCCCUCGCGCGCACCA